RNAcentral lists this long non-coding RNA (3147 nucleotides) under Homo sapiens (human). Its description in RNAcentral is "non-protein coding P3H2-AS1:6". The record is from RNAcentral. Lineage: Eukaryota; Metazoa; Chordata; Mammalia; Primates; Hominidae.
CUCCUGCUGCCUGAGACUCCGAGAGCCGCUCUCCCAGGCUCCCCGCUGCAGCGGCGGGGCUGCCAGGGGCGGCACACUCCAGCGCCAGCCAGAGAGCUAGCGCCGCUUGAGGCCGGCCGGGGACGAGGCGCUUUACACUGCCUGAUGGGUACUAGCAGCCCACCCCAGCCAGAUGGAGGACAAGGCCUCUCCAAGUCUCAAGGAAAUGCACAAUCCUUCCUUACCUCUGGCCUCAGAACUCUCAGCAUCUCAUUGAUUAGCAACCUCAUCUGUGGCAAAUCUAAGGAACACCUUCUACUUAAAAUUGAAGUCUUCUGGGCUGGGUGUGGUGGCUCAUUCCUGUAAUCCCAGCACUUUGGGAGGCCAAGGAGUGCGGAUCACGAAGUCAGGAGUUCGAGACCAGCCUGGCCAACAUAGUGGAACCCUGUCUCUACUAAAAAUACAAAAAUUAGCCGGGUGUGGUGGCACAUGCCUGUAGUCCCAGCUACUCGGGAGGCUGAGGCCUCUGAGCCCAAGCUAAGCCAUCAUAUCCCCUGUGACCUGCACGUACACAUCCAGAUGGCCGGUUCCUGCCUUAACUGAUGACAUUCCACCACAAAAGAAGUGAAAAUGGUCUGUUCCUGCCUUAACUGAUGACAUUGUCUUGUGAAAUUCCUUCUCCUGGCUCAUCCUGGCUCAAAAGCUCCCCCACUGAGUACCUUGUGAUCCCCACUCCUGCCCACCAGAAAACAACCCCCUUUGAGGACAUGCAUGAAAUUUGGUGCCGUGACUCAGAUCGUGACCUCCCUUGGGAGGUCCUCCUGUUCUUUGCUCCUUGAGAAAGAUCCACCUAUGGUCCUCAGACCGACCAGCCCAAGAAACAUCUCACCAAUUUCAAAUCUGGUAAGCGGCCUCUUCUUACUCUCUUCUCCAACCUCCCUCACUAUCCCUCAACCUCUUUCUCCUUUCAAUCUUGGUGCCACACUUCAAUCUCUCCCUUCUUUUAAUUUCAAUUCCCUUCAUUUUCUGGUAGAGACAAAGGAGACACGUUUUAUCCGUGGACCCAAAACUCCGGCGCCGGUCACGGACUGGGAAGGCAGCCUUCCCUUGGUGUUUAAUCAUUGCAGGGACGCCUCUCUGAUUAUUCACCCAGGUUUUAGAGGUGUCAGACCACGCAGGGACGCCUGCCUUAGUCCUUCACCCUUAGCGGCAAGUCCUGCUUUUCUAGGGGAGAGGCAAGUACCCCAACCCCUUCUCUCUGUGUCUCUACCCCUUCUCCACCUUUCUGGGGGGCAAGAAACCCGUAACCCCUUCUUCUUCACUCUUAGCAGCAAGUCCCGCUUUUCUAGAGGGGCAAGUACCCCAACUUCAUAUCUCUGCACCCCAAUCCCUUAUUUCCAUGCCCCAACCUCUUAUCUCUGUGCCCCAAUCCCUUAUUUCCACGCCCCAACCCCUUUCCUGCUUUUCUGGAAGGUAAGAACCCCCGAACCCCUUCCCUCUGUGUCUCUACUCUCUCUUUUCUCUAGGCUUGCUUCCUUCACUAUGGGCAACCUUCCACUCUCCAUUCCUCCUUCUUCUCCCUUAGCCUGUGUCCUCAAAAACUUAAAACCUCUUCAACUCACACCUGACCUAAAAUCUAAGCAUCUUAUUUUCUUCUGCAAUACCGCUUGACCCCAAUACAAACUCGACAGUAGUUCCAAACAGCCGGAAAACGGCACUUUCAAUUUUUCCAUCCUACAAGAUCUAAAUAAAUCUUGUUGUAAAGUGGGCAAAUGGUCUGAGGUGCCUGACGUCCAGGCAUUCUUUUACACGUCGGUCCCUCUCUAGUCUCUGUUCCCAAAGCAACUGUUCCCAAAUCUUCCUUCUUUCCCUCCCACCUGUCCCCUCAGUCCCAACCCCAAGCGUCGCUGAGUCUUUCUAAUCUUCCUUUUCUACAGACCCAUCUGACCUCUCCCCUCCUCCCCAGGCUGCUCCUCGCCAGGCCGAGCUAGGUCCCAAUUCUUCCUCAGCCUCCGCUCCUCCACCCUAUAAUCCUUUUAUCACCUCCCCUCCUCACACCUGGUCCGGCUUACAGUUUCUUUCUGUGACUAGCCCUCCCCCACCUGCCCAUCGGUGGCUGGAGCUAAAGGCAUAGUCAAGGUUAAUGCUUCUUUUUCUUUAUCCCAAAUCAGAUAGCAUUUAGGCUCUUUUUCAUCAAAUAUAAAAAUCCAGCCCAGUUCAUGGCUCCUUUGGCAGCAACCCUGAGACACUUUACAGCCCUAGACCCUAAAAGGUCAAAAGGCCGUCUUAUUCUCAAAAUACAUUUUAUUACCCAAUCUGCUCCCAACAUUAAAUAAAACUCCAAAAAUUAAAUUCCGGCCCUCAAACCCCACAACAGAAUUUAAUUAACCUCACCUUCAAGGUGUACAAUAAUAGAAAAAAGUUGCAAUUCCUUGCCUUCACUGUGAGACAAACCUCAGCCACGUCUCCAGCACACAAGAACUUCCAAACGCCUGAACCUCAGCGGCCAGGCAUUCCUCCAGAACCUCCUCCCCCAGGAGCUUGCUACAAGUGCCAGAAAUCUGGCCACCAGGCCAAGGAAUGCCUGCAGCCCAGGAUUCCUCCUAAGCCACGUCCCAUCUGUGCGGGACCCCACUGGAAAUUGGACUGUCCAACUCACCUGGCAGCCACUCCCAGAGCCCCUGGAACUCUGGCCCAAGGCUCUCUGACUGCUUCCCAGAUCUUCUUGGCUUAGUGGCUGAAGACUAACGCUGCCCGAUCGCCUCGGAAGCCCCCUAGACCAUCACGGACGCUGAGCUUCGGGUAACUCUCACAGUGGAGGACAGGAAUAUCAGGCCUGUGAGCCCAAGCUAAGCCAUCAUAUCCCCUGUGACCUGCACGUACACAUCCAGAUGGCCGGUUCCUGCCUUAACUGAUGACAUUCCACCACAAAAGAAGUGAAAAUGGCCUGUUCCUCCCUUAACUGAUGACAUUGUCUUGUGAAAUUCCUUCUCCUGGCCCAUCCUGGCUCAAAAGCUCCCCCACUGAAUACCUUGUGACCCCCACUCCUGCCCACCAGAGAACAAUCCCCUUUGACUGUAAUUUUCCUUUAUCUACCCAAAUCCCAUAAAACAGCCCCACCCCUAUCUCCCUUUGCUGACUCUCUUUUCGGACUCAGCCCGCCUGCAC